RNAcentral lists this ribosomal RNA (253 nucleotides) under uncultured bacterium. RNAcentral's name for it is "partial 16S ribosomal RNA". It matches the Rfam family "Bacterial small subunit ribosomal RNA", at positions 524 to 776 of the family's 1533-position model. The record is from RNAcentral.
UACGGAGGGAGCUAGCGUUGUUCGAAAUUACUGGGCGUAAAGCGCACGUAGGCGGCUAUUCAAGUCAGAGGUGAAAGCCCAGGGCUCAACCCUGGAACUGCCUUUGAAACUAGAUAGCUAGAAUUCUGGAGAGGUCAGUGGAAUUCCGAGUGUAGAGGUGAAAUUCGUAGAUAUUCGGAAGAACACCAGUGGCGAAGGCGACUGACUGGACAGAUAUUGACGCUGAGGCACGAAAGUGUGGGGAUCAAACAGG